GGCCAAAGGGAGCGAUUCCGGCAACGGAUGGGCAUGCGUGACAUUAGCUAGUGGGCGGGGCAACGGCCCACCAAGGCGACGAUGUCUAGGGGUUCUGAGAGGAAGGUCCCCCACACUGGUACUGAGACACGGACCAGACUCCUACGGGAGGCAGCAGUGAGGAAUAUUGGUCAAUGGGCGCGAGCCUGAACCAGCCAAGUCGCGUGAGGGAUGACGGCCCUACGGGUUGUAAACCUCUUUUGUCGGGGAGCAAAUUCCGCCACGUGUGGCGGAGUCGAGAGUACCCGAAGAAAAAGCAUCGGCUAACUCCGUGCCAGCAGCCGCGGUAAUACGGAGGAUGCGAGCGUUAUCCGGAUUUAUUGGGUUUAAAGGGUGCGUAGGCGGACUGUCAAGUCAGCGGUAAAAUACGGGGGCUCAACCUCCGCCCGCCGUUGAAACUGACGGUCUUGAGUGGGCGAGAAGUAUGCGGAAUGCGUGGUGUAGCGGUGAAAUGCAUAGAUAUCACGCAGAACUCCGAUUGCGAAGGCAGCAUACCGGCGCCCGACUGACGCUGAAGCACGAAAGCGUGGGUAUCGAACAGGAUUAGAUACCCUGGUAGUCCACGCAGUAAACGAUGCAUAAAGGCUGUCCGGG
This 633-nucleotide ribosomal RNA is filed under the name uncultured bacterium. Its description in RNAcentral is "bacterial SSU rRNA". It matches the Rfam family "Bacterial small subunit ribosomal RNA", at positions 198 to 828 of the family's 1533-position model. The record is from RNAcentral.